Molecule: unclassified non-coding RNA, 230 nt
Filed under: uncultured Thanatephorus
Lineage: Eukaryota; Fungi; Basidiomycota; Agaricomycetes; Cantharellales; Ceratobasidiaceae
Description: sequence contains ITS1
Source: RNAcentral
UUGAAUUUUAAUGAAGGGAUUUGGUUGUAGCUGGCCCCAUUAACUUUGGGCAUGUGCACACCCUUUCUCUUUCAUCCACACACACCUGUGCACCUGUGAGGCAGAUGGGGAAUUUAUUGAUUGUUUUUUUUUCUUAAAGAACAAUUGGUCUUGCACCCUCUGUCUACUUAAUCUAUAUAUAAACUCAAUUUAUUUAGAAAUGAAUGUAAUGGAUGUAACACAUCUAAUAC